UACAGAGGUCUCAAGCGUUGUUCGGAUUUAUUGGGCGUAAAGAGCUCGUAGGCGGUUCGUCGCGUCGGCUGUGAAAUCCCGAGGCUCAACCUCGGGUCUGCAGUCGAUACGGGCGGACUGGAGUUCGGCAGGGGAGACUGGAAUUCCCGGUGUAGAGGUGAAAUUCGUAGAUAUCGGGAGGAACACCAGUGGCGAAGGCGGCGACCUGGGCUGACACUGACGCUGAGGUUCGAAAGCGUGGGGAGCAAACAGG
This 253-nucleotide ribosomal RNA is filed under the name uncultured bacterium. Its description in RNAcentral is "partial 16S ribosomal RNA". It matches the Rfam family "Bacterial small subunit ribosomal RNA", at positions 524 to 776 of the family's 1533-position model. The record is from RNAcentral.